This 497-nucleotide ribosomal RNA is filed under the name uncultured bacterium. Its description in RNAcentral is "partial 16S ribosomal RNA". It matches the Rfam family "Bacterial small subunit ribosomal RNA", at positions 28 to 507 of the family's 1533-position model. The record is from RNAcentral.
GACGAACGCUGGCGGCAUGCCUAAUACAUGCAAGUCGAACGCUGAAGCACUCUGCUUGCAGAGUGCGGAUGAGUGGCGAACGGGUGAGUAACACGUGGGAAAUCUGCCUAUAAGAGGGGGAUAACAUUCGGAAACGGAUGCUAAUACCGCAUAUAUUCUUGGACCGCCUGGUCCUUGAAAGAAAGACGGCUUUGCUGUCGCUUAUAGAUGAUCCCGCGGCGUAUUAGUUAGUUGGUGGGGUAAAGGCCUACCAAGACAAUGAUACGUAGCCGACCUGAGAGGGUGAUCGGCCACACUGGGACUGAGACACGGCCCAGACUCCUACGGGAGGCAGCAGUAGGGAAUCUUCCACAAAGGGCGAAAGCCUGAUGGAGCAAUGCCGCGUGAAUGAAGAAGGUCUUCGGAUCGUAAAGUUCUGUUAUUAGAGAAGAACAAGUCAAGGAGUAACUGUCUUGACUUUGACGGUACCUAACCAGAAAGUCACGGCUAACUACGUG